GUGAUGAAGGCCUUAGGGUCGUGAAGCUCUUUCGCCAGAGAUGAUAAUGACAGUAUCUGGUAAAGAAACCCCGGCUAACUCCGUGCCAGCAGCCGCGGUAAUACGGAGGGGGUUAGCGUUGUUCGGAAUUACUGGGCGUAAAGCGCGCGUAGGCGGAUUAGUAAGUUAGAGGUGAAAUCCCGGGGCUCAACCCCGGAACUGCCUUUAAUACUGCUAGUCUUGAGUUCGAGAGAGGUGAGUGGAAUUCCGAGUGUAGAGGUGAAAUUCGUAGAUAUUCGGAGGAACACCAGUGGCGAAGGCGGCUCACUGGCUCGAUACUGACGCUGAGGUGCGAAAGUGUGGGGAGCAAACAGGAUUAGAUACCCUGGUAGUCCACACCGUAAACGAUGAAUGCCAGUCGUCGGGUAGCAUGCUAUUCGGUGACACACCUAACGGAUUAAGCAUUCCGCC
Molecule: ribosomal RNA, 450 nt
Filed under: uncultured Alphaproteobacteria bacterium
Lineage: Bacteria; Pseudomonadati; Pseudomonadota; Alphaproteobacteria
Description: bacterial SSU rRNA
Rfam family: Bacterial small subunit ribosomal RNA
Source: RNAcentral